UGUUCAAAGCUCUUUUGUAUUUAUUAUUUUAUUAUAUUGGAUCAUCACAAGCCCCAGAGGGAGAGCUAUCCUCCUGUUUUGCCUGAAGAAACAGAGGCCCAGAAAGGCCCAGGAUUCCAGCAGCCAAAAUGAUUGCACUAAGUUGGAAACCAGGGGCCAGCGCUGGGAGCGCGAUGAAGUCAACUUUCAUGGCAAGAUGAUGGAGCACUUGGGAAAUGCUGGCAAGGACAAGCAUAUCUCCUGCAAUUUUUCUGCACCUUUCAUUUCGGCGGUCUAAAGAGAGGAGAGGCUAGCCUACAGAAGGUGAAAGGCCUCCAGGAGGAAGCUCACCCUGGCUGGGAGCCAGCCUGGCAGGGAGCAAGCAGGUGUGAAAGGUGACAACCCAGGAUCCCCUGGGACUCUGGGACAGUUCACUCC
RNAcentral lists this long non-coding RNA (417 nucleotides) under Canis lupus familiaris (dog). Its description in RNAcentral is "lncRNA (ENSCAFG00000056074.1, ENSCAFG00845002342.1)". The record is from RNAcentral. Lineage: Eukaryota; Metazoa; Chordata; Mammalia; Carnivora; Canidae.